UACAGAGGGUGCGAGCGUUAAUCGGAAUUACUGGGCGUAAAGCGCACGUAGGCGGCUUGGUAUGUCGGGUGUGAAAUCCCCGGGCUCAACCUGGGAACUGCAUCCGAAACUGCCUUGCUAGAGUAUGGGAGAGGGAAGUGGAAUUUCCGGUGUAGCGGUGAAAUGCGUAGAUAUCGAGAGGAACACCUGCGGCGAAGGCGGGUUGCUGGGCUGACACUGACGCUGAUUGUGCGAAAGCUAGGGGAGCGAACGGG
Molecule: ribosomal RNA, 254 nt
Filed under: uncultured bacterium
Lineage: Bacteria
Description: partial 16S ribosomal RNA
Rfam family: Bacterial small subunit ribosomal RNA
Source: RNAcentral